Molecule: ribosomal RNA, 903 nt
Filed under: Alteromonas sp.
Lineage: Bacteria; Pseudomonadati; Pseudomonadota; Gammaproteobacteria; Alteromonadales; Alteromonadaceae
Description: bacterial SSU rRNA
Rfam family: Bacterial small subunit ribosomal RNA
Source: RNAcentral
AUNGACCGAGUGGCGGACGGGUGAGUAAUGCUUGGGAACUUGCCUUUAGGAGGGGGAUAACAGUUGGAAACGACUGCUAAUACCGCAUAAUGUCUACGGACCAAAGGGGGCUUCGGCUCUCACCUAAAGAGAGGCCCAAGUGAGAUUAGCUAGUUGGUAAGGUAAAAGCUUACCAAGGCGACGAUCUCUAGCUGUUCUGAGAGGAAGAUCAGCCACACUGGGACUGAGACACGGCCCAGACUCCUACGGGAGGCAGCAGUGGGGAAUAUUGCACAAUGGGGGAAACCCUGAUGCAGCCAUGCCGCGUGUGUGAAGAAGGCCUUCGGGUUGUAAAGCACUUUCAGUUGUGAGGAAAGGUUGGUAGUUAAUACCUGCCAGCUGUGACGUUAACAACAGAAGAAGCACCGGCUAACUCCGUGCCAGCAGCCGCGGUAAUACGGAGGGUGCGAGCGUUAAUCGGAAUUACUGGGCGUAAAGCGCACGCAGGCGGUUUGUUAAGCUAGAUGUGAAAGCCCCGGGCUCAACCUGGGAUGGUCAUUUAGAACUGGCAGACUAGAGUCUUGGAGAGGGGAGUGGAAUUCCAGGUGUAGCGGUGAAAUGCGUAGAUAUCUGGAGGAACAUCAGUGGCGAAGGCGGCUCCCUGGCCAAAGACUGACGCUCAUGUGCGAAAGUGUGGGUAGCGAACAGGAUUAGAUACCCUGGUAGUCCACACCGUAAACGCUGUCUACUAGCUGUUUGUGAAUUUAAUUCGUGAGUAGCGAAGCUAACGCGAUAAGUAGACCGCCUGGGGAGUACGGCCGCAAGGUUAAAACUCAAAUGAAUUGACGGGGGCCCGCACAAGCGGUGGAGCAUGUGGUUUAAUUCGAUGCAACGCGAAGAACCUUACCUACACUUGACAUGCAG